This 552-nucleotide ribosomal RNA is filed under the name uncultured bacterium. RNAcentral describes it as "bacterial SSU rRNA". It matches the Rfam family "Bacterial small subunit ribosomal RNA", at positions 355 to 896 of the family's 1533-position model. The record is from RNAcentral.
UAGGGAAUCUUCGGCAAUGGGGGCAACCCUGACCGAGCAACGCCGCGUGAGUGAAGAAGGUUUUCGGAUCGUAAAGCUCUGUUGUAAGUCAAGAACGAGUGUGAGAGUGGAAAGUUCACACUGUGACGGUAGCUUACCAGAAAGGGACGGCUAACUACGUGCCAGCAGCCGCGGUAAUACGUAGGUCCCGAGCGUUGUCCGGAUUUUUUUUGGGCGUAAAGCGAGCGCAGGCGGUUUGAUAAGUCUGAAGUUAAAGGCUGUGGCUCAACCAUAUUUCGCUUUGGAAACUGUCAAACUUGAGUGCAGAAGGGGAGAGUGGAAUUCCAUGUGUAGCGGUGAAAUGCGUAGAUAUAUGGAGGAACACCGGUGGCGAAAGCGGCUCUCUGGUCUGUAACUGACGCUGAGGCUCGAAAGCGUGGGGAGCGAACAGGAUUAGAUACCCUGGUAGUCCACGCCGUAAACGAUGAGUGCUAGGUGUUGGAUCCUUUCCGGGAUUCAGUGCCGCAGCUAACGCAUUAAGCACUCCGCCUGGGGAGUACGACCGCAAGGUUG